This 1610-nucleotide ribosomal RNA is filed under the name Escherichia coli. Its description in RNAcentral is "partial 23S ribosomal RNA". It matches the Rfam family "Bacterial large subunit ribosomal RNA", at positions 1291 to 2881 of the family's 2925-position model. Lineage: Bacteria; Pseudomonadati; Pseudomonadota; Gammaproteobacteria; Enterobacterales; Enterobacteriaceae. The record is from RNAcentral.
CGAAUGCUGACAUAAGUAACGAUAAAGCGGGUGAAAAGCCCGCUCGCCGGAAGACCAAGGGUUCCUGUCCAACGUUAAUCGGGGCAGGGUGAGUCGACCCCUAAGGCGAGGCCGAAAGGCGUAGUCGAUGGGAAACAGGUUAAUAUUCCUGUACUUGGUGUUACUGCGAAGGGGGGACGGAGAAGGCUAUGUUGGCCGGGCGACGGUUGUCCCGGUUUAAGCGUGUAGGCUGGUUUUCCAGGCAAAUCCGGAAAAUCAAGGCUGAGGCGUGAUGACGAGGCACUACGGUGCUGAAGCAACAAAUGCCCUGCUUCCAGGAAAAGCCUCUAAGCAUCAGGUAACAUCAAAUCGUACCCCAAACCGACACAGGUGGUCAGGUAGAGAAUACCAAGGCGCUUGAGAGAACUCGGGUGAAGGAACUAGGCAAAAUGGUGCCGUAACUUCGGGAGAAGGCACGCUGAUAUGUAGGUGAAGUCCCUCGCGGAUGGAGCUGAAAUCAGUCGAAGAUACCAGCUGGCUGCAACUGUUUAUUAAAAACACAGCACUGUGCAAACACGAAAGUGGACGUAUACGGUGUGACGCCUGCCCGGUGCCGGAAGGUUAAUUGAUGGGGUCAGCGCAAGCGAAGCUCUUGAUCGAAGCCCCGGUAAACGGCGGCCGUAACUAUAACGGUCCUAAGGUAGCGAAAUUCCUUGUCGGGUAAGUUCCGACCUGCACGAAUGGCGUAAUGAUGGCCAGGCUGUCUCCACCCGAGACUCAGUGAAAUUGAACUCGCUGUGAAGAUGCAGUGUACCCGCGGCAAGACGGAAAGACCCCGUGAACCUUUACUAUAGCUUGACACUGAACAUUGAGCCUUGAUGUGUAGGAUAGGUGGGAGGCUUUGAAGUGUGGACGCCAGUCUGCAUGGAGCCGACCUUGAAAUACCACCCUUUAAUGUUUGAUGUUCUAACGUGGACCCGUGAUCCGGGUUGCGGACAGUGUCUGGUGGGUAGUUUGACUGGGGCGGUCUCCUCCUAAAGAGUAACGGAGGAGCACGAAGGUUGGCUAAUCCUGGUCGGACAUCAGGAGGUUAGUGCAAUGGCAUAAGCCAGCUUGACUGCGAGCGUGACGGCGCGAGCAGGUGCGAAAGCAGGUCAUAGUGAUCCGGUGGUUCUGAAUGGAAGGGCCAUCGCUCAACGGAUAAAAGGUACUCCGGGGAUAACAGGCUGAUACCGCCCAAGAGUUCAUAUCGACGGCGGUGUUUGGCACCUCGAUGUCGGCUCAUCACAUCCUGGGGCUGAAGUAGGUCCCAAGGGUAUGGCUGUUCGCCAUUUAAAGUGGUACGCGAGCUGGGUUUAGAACGUCGUGAGACAGUUCGGUCCCUAUCUGCCGUGGGCGCUGGAGAACUGAGGGGGGCUGCUCCUAGUACGAGAGGACCGGAGUGGACGCAUCACUGGUGUUCGGGUUGUCAUGCCAAUGGCACUGCCCGGUAGCUAAAUGCGGAAGAGAUAAGUGCUGAAAGCAUCUAAGCACGAAACUUGCCCCGAGAUGAGUUCUCCCUGACCCUUUAAGGGUCCUGAAGGAACGUUGAAGACGACGACGUUGAUAGGCCGGGUGUGUAAGCGCAGCGA